This is a long non-coding RNA of Eucalyptus grandis, 1136 nucleotides long. RefSeq lists it as uncharacterized. The transcript is spliced from 3 exons. Lineage: Eukaryota; Viridiplantae; Streptophyta; Magnoliopsida; Myrtales; Myrtaceae. The record is from RefSeq and is a predicted model, not a curated record.
AGCAUUCAGUUAUUAUGCUUUCUUACUCACAUUGUGUGUUGGAGAUUUGAGAUUUCUAAAGUCAGAGAUUCCUCUUUCUUUGGCUGACAGAAUUGAAGGUUCCUCAAGAAAAAGUUUUCAUACAAUCAUUUUAGGAGAUUGUCUUUAUAAAUUAAUUUCUAUAACACUUUUUCCCAGUCCUGAUGUUCAAAACUAUGCACUACGAGAAACUUUGUUUUGAUGUGUCAGAAGAGGGUAGUCAAUUAUUAGCUUACACUUUAGUUGUUGGACUUGCUUACAUCUGUUAGUUUGACUGCAGGUUCCUUUUGUAGUCAUUGAUGGCAGUCAGUGGCCAGUAGCAGAUUAUGUUGUUGUGAACAUGGAUGGCUCAAGGCAUCAUCUACCUCUUACCACAUUAUGUCACCAACUACAGCUGAUGAAUUCUUCUCUCCUUACACAUUCCUCCAGGCACUUUUUGGUCGUAAAUACCCUGUUGGACUGUUUGAUGAGGAGAGAAAAUUCUUCCAUUAGGAAAGUAUGUCAGUGCUGUUAGCCUUUUCUUUUGAAAAUGAAUUCCAGAGAUCAGGUCAUGAAAAGAUUUUCCUUAUUUUUUAUGGAAAAGUGGAGGCAACGUAGACAGGAUGAGCAGGAGUAGCAGGAGCAACAGCAGUAGAGCCAUGCUGCAGUUGAUGAGCCCAACACUCUUGCGGAGGAUGAUCGGGAGAUGUACCAGAUGGAUUGUUACGUGUAAUUUGUCUAAUGAGGUGUAAUUUGUCUAAUGAGGAGGACGAGAUCCGUUUUUGUCCCAUGCGGUCAUCUUGUGUGUUGUUAGUGAUGUGUGUUAUCCGCGGAACUGGAGGUUUCACCAAAAUGCUCUGUUUGUAAGAAGCUGAUCUCUAAUUCAAUCCAGAUUCUUGAGUAUGGUAGUGAUUUUGUUUCUGUUAGUUCAAGGGUGGAAAGUUCAAAUUGUUAGCUUUUCUUCUUUAAUUUAUCCCCGGAAAGAGCACUCCUAUCCUUUAAUGGAGAGUCCACAAUGGACUGGUGAUUGUUUUGUGUCAGUAACAAUUCUUCGUGGGUCUCUCCUACUGUUAAAACUGUGUUGUUUAGUAAAUUGAGCCUUAUUGUUAAGUUUGUCACCUUGAAGUGGCUUUUGUUGU